Molecule: ribosomal RNA, 494 nt
Filed under: uncultured soil bacterium
Lineage: Bacteria
Description: bacterial SSU rRNA
Rfam family: Bacterial small subunit ribosomal RNA
Source: RNAcentral
AGAUUGAACGCUGGCGGCAUGCCUUACACAUGCAAGUCGAACGGCAGCACGGGGGCAACCCUGGUGGCGAGUGGCGAACGGGUGAGUAAUGCAUCGGAACGUGCCCAGUAGUGGGGGGAUAACUAGUCGAAAGAUUAGCUAAUACCGCAUACGACCUAUGGGUGAAAGCGGGGGAUUCGCAAGAACCUCGCGCUAUCGGAGCGGCCGAUGUCUGAUUAGCUAGUUGGCGGGUAAAAGCCCACCAAGGCUUCGAUCAGUAGCUGGUCUGAGAGGACGACCAGCCACACUGGGACUGAGACACGGCCCAGACUCCUACGGGAGGCAGCAGUGGGGAAUUUUGGACAAUGGGCGCAAGCCUGAUCCAGCCAUGCCGCGUGCGGGAAGAAGGCCUCGGUUGUAACCGCUUUGGCAGGAACGAAACGGCGCGAGCAAAUAUCUCGCGUUAAUGACGGUACCUGCAGAAUAAGCACCGGCUAACUACGUGCCAGCAGCCG